RNAcentral lists this ribosomal RNA (453 nucleotides) under Heterometrus laoticus. Its description in RNAcentral is "partial 12S ribosomal RNA". The record is from RNAcentral. Lineage: Eukaryota; Metazoa; Arthropoda; Arachnida; Scorpiones; Scorpionidae.
UUAUACUAUUGAGGCGAGCAUAUUAUGUUUAUAAUAUUGAUUUAUUUUAAAAUAGAAAUAAGUAAUUUUGGGUGGGUGAAAUCAUCAUAAUGCAAAAUUCUAAAAUUAAAUCUUAAAAAUUUUAAUAGAAACUAGGAUUAGAUACCCUAUUAUAAAAAUAUUAAAAAUUAGGUAAUAACGGAGUUUCUGAAACCUAAAGGACUUGGCGGUAUUUUAAAUAAUUGGAGGAACUUGUUGUUUAAUUGAAGUUACACAACAUAUCUUUCCUUAUUUUUGCUUGUAUAUCAUUGUUUUAAGAUAACAUUUUCUAAUAUAGUCUAAAUCAAGUUUGUUCAAAAAAUCAAAUCAAGGCGCAGCAUAAUAAGGUUAUAAUGAGUUACAAUGAAAUUUAUUCAAAACGGAAAUAAAAAGUAAAAUAUAUUGAAGGUGGAUUCAAAAAUAAUAAAAAAUCAA